UACGUAGGUGGCAAGCGUUGUCCGGAAUUAUUGGGCGUAAAGCGCGCGCAGGUGGUUUCUUAAGUCUGAUGUGAAAGCCCACGGCUCAACCGUGGAGGGUCAUUGGAAACUGGGGAACUUGAGUGCAGGAGAGAAGAGUGGAAUUCCACGUGUAGCGGUGAAAUGCGUAGAGAUGUGGAGGAACACCAGUGGCGAAGGCGGCAUCCUGGACCGGUAUUGACGCUGAGGCGCGAAAGCCAGGGGAGCAAACGGG
This 253-nucleotide ribosomal RNA is filed under the name uncultured bacterium. RNAcentral's name for it is "partial 16S ribosomal RNA". It matches the Rfam family "Bacterial small subunit ribosomal RNA", at positions 524 to 776 of the family's 1533-position model. The record is from RNAcentral.